GGGGUGGGCGGGAGAGAGGCGGCAGCCCCGGGCCCGAGGAGCGGCCGUCCGCUGCUGUCCUGCCCGACUCGCUUCUCCUCGCAGCAGACGGUGCCGCUGCCGUAACUCCGGCUGGCGACUUUGCUGCUGAGCUGAAACUGCUAAUUUCUGUGACCAGCUUUUUUCUUAGCUGUGAUCUGGAUGAAUGAGUAGCUGUCUCACAGAGAUGACAAAAAUAAACUCUAAUCCCCCCAAAAA
This is a long non-coding RNA of Tyto alba (common barn owl), 237 nucleotides long. RefSeq lists it as uncharacterized. The record is from RefSeq and is a predicted model, not a curated record. NCBI's taxonomy places the organism in Eukaryota, Metazoa, Chordata, Aves, Strigiformes, Tytonidae. The transcript is spliced from 2 exons.